GACGUAGGGCGCGAGCGUUGUCCGGAUUUAUUGGGCGUAAAGAGCUCGUAGGCGGCUUGUUGCGUCGACCGUGAAAACCCGGGGCUCAACUUCGGGCUUGCGGUCGAUACGGGCGGGCUAGAGUUCGGUAGGGGAGACUGGAAUUCCUGGUGUAGCGGUGAAAUGCGCAGAUAUCAGGAGGAACACCGGUGGCGAAGGCGGUGGUCUGGGCCGGCACUGACGCUGAGGAGCGAAAGCGUGGGUAGCAAACAGG
RNAcentral lists this ribosomal RNA (253 nucleotides) under uncultured bacterium. Its description in RNAcentral is "partial 16S ribosomal RNA". It matches the Rfam family "Bacterial small subunit ribosomal RNA", at positions 524 to 776 of the family's 1533-position model. The record is from RNAcentral.